RNAcentral lists this small nucleolar RNA (107 nucleotides) under Brassica napus (rape). Its description in RNAcentral is "Plant small nucleolar RNA R71". It matches the Rfam family "Plant small nucleolar RNA R71". From Rfam's summary of the family: R71 is a member of the C/D box family of snoRNAs containing the C (UGAUGA) and D (CUGA) box motifs. Multiple nearly identical copies of this snoRNA have been identified in Arabidopsis, and it is thought to function as a 2'-O-ribose methylation guide for 18S ribosomal RNA. RNAcentral also lists the same sequence under 2 other names. Lineage: Eukaryota; Viridiplantae; Streptophyta; Magnoliopsida; Brassicales; Brassicaceae. The record is from Rfam by way of RNAcentral.
AAGCCAUGAUGUGGGCAUUGAGACCAAUAGCCUUUAAACCUCUCCCAAGCUUCACUAAAUCCCUCUAGGUUCUUCGGCUGAAAGCUAGAGAUCUCAAUCAUGAUCUU